CAGUAUAGAUCUAUACGCAAACUCACGCUCUCCCUCCAAGAGACUCUGGCUACAACUCGGGCCAUGACAUUGAAGGCAUGCUCCGAUACAGUGGAUCACAAUUAUGUCAACAUAUUUAUGUAUAUGUAAUGUACUGAAAUGUUCUACGUGUGCUAGCUGUAAUAUGUGUUCUCUCUCUAUCUAGCAAGUAUAGUAAUGUACUGUAAUGUUCUAGCUGUAAUGUAUGCUCUCUCUAUCUAGCAAGUAUAGUAAUGUACUGUAAUGUUCUAGAAAGUAUUGACUCAUGAAUGAACUAACUCAUUGUAUGAUAUCGCAUUCUAGUAAUAGUUCUAGUAUUUUCCUAAACUACCUAUAUGGUAGUUUACUAGUAAUCUAACUGGUACGUAUGGACAUGGAUGUAUACCCUUGCUACCCAAGGGAAUUGGACGAACUGGAAGGACCUUUAUGAAUAUAUAAGUACACAUUAUAUAUAACUAAUAUUUAAACGACCUUCGGACAGUACCAGAUAUCCCACCAGACCACAUCCAAAUCGAGGAAAAAGAAAUAGGCUGGAUAGCCUUCCUAAGUCCUUUCAACAUUUCUUAUAUAACUAUACAUAUAUAGGCAUGCAAUUUAUAAUAUAAAAGCAUAAAAUAAGUUUUGUAAAACCUUUGAACAUAAUUAUUAUCUAAGAAAAGAUCGAUUUGAUGUCAAUCUAUAAAACGGUUUGAAGGCAUGGAUUUGAUAAAACAGUUUAAUUAUAAAUAAACAUUUAUUGGAAACACCAUUGUAAAUGAGUUUGAAAUGGAACAUACAGAGUAAAAUGUACAGUUUAAUAAGGAGUUUUAAACAUAUGAAGUGUUUAUAAAAAUCAUUUGAAAAAACUGUUUGGUAAAACGGCUAAUGAGUAGCCAAUCAUUUAAAUGUGGUUUAUUAAUCACAAGUGAUUAAUAUAAUAACUAGCAUGAUUAUACUUGUAUCCCCCCAUAAAACAUUUCAAAACAGUUAAAACAUUGAUUAAGGGGUAUAAACUCACCUGUUGUGGGGGAUACGGAUGAACUGAAGAGGUAGGACUGCUAGGUGUCAAGUGAAGACUUUAGACACACACAAUGGUCCUAAUUACAUAUGAAGACAUAUGUAUAUAAACAAUUAGUGAUUAUAACACUAAUUAAACAUGUAUAAACAUCCUAAUGCGAGGAAAACACUUUGGUCAAGUGCUAGGAGGCUAAUGGGUUGCAACAAAGGAGUGCAAGACCUUAUACGGAAGUGUAUGGUUAAAAGACCAUGUGUGUUGGAGUUUACGGCCCAAGGGAGUAAAAUCCUGUCCGUAAACUCUCUAUUGGGGCACAAAAUGAAGCUCAAAGCUAUUACAACUUAAUUGGUGAAGUGUUUCUAGGCUUAAGCAAGUGUAUGUGUGGGUUUAAGGCCUUAAAAUGGCCUUGCUUAAUGUUCACGGCCCUCGGACCACUCCCCAUGAGUUUACGGCCGUAAACUAAUGGUAAGGAGUACCAUUUGAUUUUUUGAGGUUCCUAUCUCAUUGGUGAUUUGUUCUACGAUAAGUUCUAGCCAUGUGGAAGCAUUAGGGGCACAAUAUCACCCCUUUAUAGAGUUUACGGCCUAAGGACCAAUCCUUAUGAGCUUACAGCCGUACAUUCUAUGGGAACAUGGUUUCUUGGGUGCUUAAGGUCCUUAACAUUUCAAGGAUAUGAUCUAAGUUGGGUUCUAGGAAUAAGGAAGGAGUUAGGGUGUCAUUUGCCCCAUUUAUAGGGGUUUACGGCCCAAGAACUUGUCUUGGCCGUAAACUCCUUUGUCCCUGUGUUUCCUUAUGAUUUCUAGGCUAUAAACACAUUAGGGUACAUGUCUAAAUUAGUCUUUUGGCUUAAGGAAGGCUUUUAGGGCAUUUUGGCACAUAAAAAUGGAGUUCACGGCCCAAGAACUUCCUUGGCCGUGAACUCACUUUUAGUCUUGAUUCUUAAUUGUUUUGUGGUCUAAACAUGUAAUGGUAGUUCCUAGGUUGAGUUCCAAGGCUUUGAGGGACAUUAGGUACACUUUGGCCCUUAUAAAGGAGUUUACUCCCCAAGGUGCUCUUGGGCGGUAAACUUACAGAUCUUAGUGUUUUCCUAUGAUUUCUAGUGUAUUAAGCAUAUAUGAAGCUUUAAAACAACACUAGAUAGAUAUACUCACUUUCCGGAACGAAAUUCCGAAGAUCCUUGAGAGAGAAUUCGGCUUUUCUCUAAUUAGAAUUGGAAAUAAUGAAUAAAUAUGGUUCAGAUUUCUAUAUAUAGUCCUGGGAUUUUUGGCAGAAAAUAUUUUUAUUCCGGGAUUGAACCCUAAUAUCCUAGAGUUUUGGAAUAACAGUGUUGCACAAAACCCUAGUGCAUCCACUCUCCUGAUAUCUCCUUAAGUGCUAAUCCUGAAAUACUCAAACUUAUACCCAAAGUCUGGAAUUUCACUGUAACUGUUCUAACUUCUAUUGGCUUGAUAUGCUUUGUUCAGAAUGGAAAUUUUGGGUUGUCACACCAUCCCCCUGUUGAAGGGAAUUUCGUCCCGAAAUUAGAAUUUAGGUAAGGAAGUAGGUAUGAAUGAUCGAGUCAUGAGGAGGAAACUUCCUAAUCGAUUGGUUCUAACACUCCUAGGUGAAAUCGGGUUCUCGGUUGGUAUCCGAACGAACCUUCACUAAUGGGCGACGACAUUGCUUCGUCCGCUUGACCUCUCGGUCGAGGGUCACUGCGGUUCUAAUACGAAGGCGAGGAUCUCGACGAGUGGACUUACAAGAGUACUAACAGAAAGGUACGGUUUAACGAUCGAGACGCGAAGAGUAAAUGUACGUUACUGAGUUCGCGGAGUAGGUCUAGUAUGUGCGAGGUACAGGACCGAUUCUGGUAAGAAUCUCGGAGGUCCUAACUAUGUUGGAUUUAGCUUUCCACACGAUACGAAGCGUAUUAAGCCAUUCCCGGAAUGAGUUUUUCCUAAAGAAUUUGGUCUUUCACUUGGAAUUCCAAAGGUUCUUUCUCUUUCUAAACUUCCUAGUCAAUGGCCAUCCCUUGCUGGGUCAAAGUCGAAAGGGUUUCUGUAAUUUGCGAGGAGUUCUGAAUGAACUAUGAAAGUAGGUCUGUAAGACCUAGAAUUUGGCGAAUUUCUGUCGGCGUCUCUGGCGUCGACAAAUUCUCAACGGUUUUGACAAAUUGUAAGAGUACUCAAAAUUUCCCACAGCACUAAUAGUGUGUCCUAGAAAUUUGACUCUUCAAUUUCAAAACUCAUGCUUAGAGAACUUCGUGAAAGUUCCUCUGAAGGUAAUGUUUCCAUGGGUUCCUUCUUACUACGAGGGUAGAUAAGUAAGUCAUUACAUGGAGAAUGACGAACUGAACCAAGUAAGAAAGACGGACUCUAUUCAUUAAACUCAUGAAUGCUUCGGGCGUAUUGGUCCUAUCCGAGGGGUAUCACUACGGACUUGAAGUGUCCGCAUCGAGUUCGGAAGGUAGUCUUCCGGACAUCCUUCCCUAACACUCGAACUGGUGAUAUUCGGAUCUCAGGUCCAUUUCUGAAAGUAAUUCUUUCCUUGCAUUUGCUAAACUAAUUCAUCUAUGCGAGGCAGAGACAACGAUUUCUAACGGAAACAUCUGGACGGAGCCCUCGAUAGCCGAGGCGAUCUCAGGUCCAUUUCUGAAAGUAAUUCUUUCCUUGCAUUUGCUAAACUAAUUCAUCUAUGCGAGGCAGAGACAACGAUUUCUAACGGAAACAUCUGGACGGAGCCCUCGAUAGCCGAGGCACAUACAAUGCAAUCCGUCGAUCUCUGGAAGAAUAUGAUCGGGGUUCUCCAGGGUGAGAAGCCUAGUCUUCUAAUUCUAUUUCUGUGUAGUUUGCUAAGUUGUCCGGGCUGUUCUUGUAUCUCCGUAGGUGUUUAGACUGUAGGGCGAUCGGUUUACAGGAGUCGUAUUGGGUUCUAAGUUUGUUCACAUGACGAUGCGAUUACUCGUAGGCUUGGGCAGUUCUCCGUCCUGAAGUUCAUAUUAGAAUUCAUACAUGGUUUCACAAUCACAAUCUCGUGUAUACGAGUCGUAUAUAAUUAAGAUUGAAAAGGUAGUCGAAUAACUGAUUCUUCUUUAAGCUCACAUCCCAUCGGGGAAAAAGAAGUUAAAGUGGAAUCAUCAAUUCUAAACCUGUAGAACCUUGAUUAUAUAUCACUCUUAUGUAUACAUUCCUCAGUGAUAGGUCAACCGCAUGAAUCCUUGGGUUAAACUUGACGUACUGCAUGAGUGGUACUUCGGGGAUUUCUUCGGAAAAGAGAAUAACUAAGAGGUACUCCACGCAUGAGUACUUCGGUGUUCUGAAAUGACAGUUUCGCUAAAAAGAUGUUUACUGAUAAGGAGAUGUACAUAUGAAGCUGUUUUUGUGAGGAUCAAAUUGAAUCGAGUUGUAUGAUAAUGUCGGAAUCAUAUUGAAACUUGAAAACAUUAGAUUUGAACAUAAGACGUUUACAGACAAAACACAACUGUGCAACCAUCAACAGAGUUACAAUACUUUAGACUUACAACAAGACCAUUGUUGCGAAUAAUGUAUACUACAAAAGACAAGUAUACGCAGCACGAGCAUCCCUAUACAGACAAGAUCUCGCAAAAGGUAAGACUCUAGUUGCACUAGUUUUGGAUAGUUUAUAUGUUUGUUACAACGAAACGCCUAAAUUACAUUAACGAGGGCCCGACAUUGUUUCUCCCGCAGCUGUGAUCCUGAGAAUCUUCCCAUCAGCACCCGAGUUCUUUGCUAUCGGGCAAUCUUUCUUGAAGUGUCCAAUUUCACCGCAUUGGUGACAUAUCUGGACAACACCAAUAUUGGUGGUGGAAGUGAGGUGUUUAGCCAGUGUUAUGUGGACACGAGUGCCUUCCUCAUUACUCCACCUUGGAAAUUGCUUCCUAAAGCGUUCGGCUUUAUAACUACUCUCGUGUGUAGGGUUAGUCCCAAUGAAAGGGACUUGAGUGAUGGGUCGUGCCGGUGCUCCACAGUUACGAGCAUGGUGCCCUAUGUUUAGGCAGUUGCAACAUUGCAUCUCAUGGCAAGCCCCAUGAUGAUGGAAACUACACUUAUCACACUUCGGGAGUUUUCCCUCGUAAGGCCUGCUCGGUACGAGAAUGGAAGGGGUUUCUACUUGUUGUUGUUGCAUGGCAAGUUUUUGGGAUUUCUUGCGUUCUUUCUGGGCUUGACGCUUUUGUUUCUUGUUCUCUGUCUUUCGGCUUUGCGAGCCUAUGACUGUUACUAUUUGGCAACUUCCUGGAUGGAUACCACGAUUGGAAACUUCAAUCCCAUCAUCAGCAUUGAUUGUGCUGAUAGCGCUACGGUGCGCAAGGACAACUGUCACGGCAGCCAUCACGGCAGUUGUAACUGCGGUUUGAAAGGUAGCGGCGUCCAUAGGAAAGGUAGAGGUUUCGUUGUUCGACUGAUUGCUUCCGGAUGACAACAUGAUUCUGUAACACGAAAGAUAAGGAUUUUGUGAGCGAUUCUGGAUGACCCUAGAUGUACAUCGAUUGCUCAAACAAAGAUUAAGAGUAUGUUCUCGAAAGGUUGACCUACAUCCCUAUGAUGCAGUCCUAGUACGGAUUGGAGGUAUGAUCGUGAGGGUUUGACCUACAUCCCUAUGAUGCAGUCCUAGUACGAAAUGGAAGUGAGUUUGUAGAAUGGUCUCAAGACGUUUGUCGUUCAAGCCGAGGUAUCGUGGGUUGGUGAAUAACAGGAUCCAACCACUAAAUGAGACUUGGAAAUGUCUCCGAAGCUAAAUUACUAUAGUCCAAUGACUUGACUAAAGUAGGUUUUCGAUAGACUCCAAUGAAAGUAUGAUGAGAGUACUUGAAUAAAGAAGGACACGGAAGUUAGCCGACUGUCAAAAUCUUUGAUAUUCAUGACGUAAAAGUUCAGGUGAAUGACCUUGUAAAAGGUCUUACAUCAUAUCCAGAGAAGAUAGUUCAUGACAGCAUAAGGACCUAACCAAAAGUACUUACAGUACAAGAUAGUUUCAUAGAAAAUGCCACAUCGGGAAAAGACAGAAAAAUGAUUUCUUCCUAACAAGGAAAAUAAAGUAAGGCAUCUACUACUGGCGACGGUCAUCCCUCUGGUGAACUCUCAGUUCAGCCAGUUGAUGUUCCACGUCAAGUAGGUGUCUUUCGUACACCCUCUGGCGUACUCGGAGUUCUAUGACUUCGGCUCGUGAUUCAGCCAGUGCUUGCAGCAGGGUUUCAUGGUUUGUCUCUGAUCUCUCGCGAGCAUCUUCUAGACGAAUGGUGCGGAGGGUAUGCAUUCUCGCAUCGGCGACAACUUCGGUGAUCUGAUGUAGGGUUGUCCCGCCUUGAAUCUCAUUUCGGGCCACUCUGCGGACCAAGAUUGGCAAGAUUCUGUCUGCUGAGUCCCCAUUGCUCAGGUCGUAGAAGCUUCGGUCACCAUUAAAUGGCAUGGGCUGGUUUUGUCCUUGGCUCCAUGUUUCCAAGCAUUCCACCCACUCAGGCGUCGAGCCAUGAAAAUCCGGACGAGAGUUAGGAAUUGGAACGGGAGCUUCCUGUGGUAGGUUCUCAACCUCGGGUUCGGAGUUACCAUCAUCUGUGAGGUCUUCAUCAUGGUGAUCAUUGAAAGGGAUUGGAUGAUCAUUUCCUGGUUCUUCUCCAAACNCUAGCAAUGACUUCGUUCGAAAGAUACAGGUUGCCGUGGGGAUGGAGUCCAGCCAUGUUAUCUAUGCGAGAAUUGGGGUAAGAAAAUAAUUAUUAGACGAACUAUCUAGAUAAUUAUUUAGAAAAUCUUCAUUAGUUACAUCGCUAUUUGUGAAGUGCAUACCAGUUAUAUGUAAUCGAAACAGGAUAGGCCUUCGAAUAUGUGACCUUAACUCCAAAUUCACACAGAAUAGGGGUAAAGUAAAAUUUUCACAUAUUCUAAGUCUAUAACAUCCUAAUUACAUAUAGCCUUAGUGUAUCCACUUAGAAACUAUCAACUUAGUAAUGAAGAUCGCAUUUUAGUUCUCAAGUAUAAAGAACUUAUAGUAACACCAAAUACUCCUAUAGUAUUUUUAAGUUUAAUGUUAUGUUCUACUGUUCUCAUUGUGCUAGGGUUGGUAAGAUUUUAGAUUUGUUGCAGCCAUAGAACUACACUUAGGCACAUGCUAGUCAACCCUUGGAUAAUAUAGUUGAUCAAUCUAUAUCUUCCUAGUUUUGACUAUAUGUCUCUAAGUCCACCUGUGUUGCCCAACAAUCGUAAUUCUUUUGUACUGUCCUAGUGACACUGAUUUUAGCAUGAAUGCAGCAUGUAUACUUAAUUAAAUAUUUUAUUAUUGAAAGUAUAAACUCUUGGUCAGAGUAUUUUUAAUCGCAUUGUAUUUAUAGUUUGUACAUAUUUUAUGGGUUGAUAUACUUAAUUCACUAUAAACAAUGCUCUGAUACCACUCUGUCACACCCCAAAACCAAGAAUGGCGGAAAAGUUCUGGGGCGGAGGACGUCAUGUACAGUAUCACAACAACAAAAAGUAGUUAACAAGCAACAACAUCAUCCAUUGCAUUAAUAAUAUAAUUAUUAUACAAGUGUGUUCUGUCAAAUUUUGAUACACACUAAAGCAUAAAUCAAAAUGAAAGAUGAGUCUUGAACGAGCUCCAUCUUCUCUAAACCUUGCAUCGGUACCUGUCUAUAUUUGACCUGAGGAUACAAGUUAUUUUGAAAGAGAGUAUCAGCUUUAAAGCUGGUGAGAUCAUAAGUAUUUUAGUGUCUUAAUUUGUAUGUAUAUGAACUGUAAGUAUUGAGAUUGUAUAUGAACUGUAAGUAUAACAAUGUUUUGUAAAUCAACUGCAAAUGUUUGAAAAACCCUGGAAAUCCCUUUGAUUCCUACUAUUAUAUAAGGGUGUCUUCUACCAAGACCUAACUGCUCUGAAUGUAGUCUUCUACCAAGACCUAACUGCUCUGAAUGUUCGUUUCUUGUAAAAGUUUGUAAUUUUCCAAGUGUAACUAUCAUUAACAAAAUAUAGUUUUUAGAUUUAAUGUUUAACUGAAAAGAUCACUAAAUAUAUGUAAAGGGAAAAUUAAUGUAGUAAUGUAGUGUAGUGCUAUAAGAACUACUGUUGUGCUAACUAUGUAACACCAUAAAUUUAAAAACAAUUUUUCGCAUUUUAUAAAAACAUAAUUAAUUUAUUAUUCAUAAAAACAUCAUUGUUUGAAACUCAAAUUCAUAUCAUAAAACAAUCUCAAGAUCUCAUAACAUAAAAAUCCCGUGUGUGUACUGAUCAAGUCGGCGCCUUCCCGCGAUCCUCACUAGUACCUGAAACACAUAACACAAAACACUGUAAGCACGAAGCUUAGUGAGUUCCCCAAAAUACCAUAUAUAACACAUAUUAGCCACUCGAGGCUAUAACUCUGUGGGUCCGUGCACCCAAACUCUGUGAACCCUCAGGUUCUAUCUCUGUGAACCUUCAGGUUCUAACUCUGUAAACAUGCACAACAUAAAUCACAUAGAAUAAUGCAGUGCAACACAUAACGCAUAUAUAGCAUUCAAACACUGUAUCACAUAACUCUGAUUACCUACUCAAGGUAAAGUAUAGUGAGAAGACUCACCUCGGAUAUCUCAGUAAAUCUCUGACUCGGUAAACUCUGGUCUAGCCCCUGCCUAAUCACAUGAAAUAAAUACUCUAAUUAAUACAACCCUCAGGGCUAGGCUAAUCUCUCUCUCUCUCUCUAUACAUCCUCUAGGAAGGGUAAAAGACUAUCCUACCCUUCCGAUGACUCUAAGGUCCAAACAUUGACUAACCCUAAAAGUCAAUGAAGUCAACGGUCAACCUUGACCAAACUCGUCGAGUGCACAACUGUGACUCGGCGAGUCCACACGUUUUCUUCACUCUCCUAGUCCUCCUUCGACUUACUGAGUAAAUACUAAACUCUGUAAAUCAUCACAGAUCACACUCUGUGAAAUGUCCCGACCCAACUCGCCGAGCCCGGCUCCUGACUCGGCGAGUAUCAUCGUGCACUCUGUCCUCUAGAUUCCCUCUGACUCACCGAGUCACUUCCCCAAGUCAGUGAGUCACCAACUGUGUGAUUAUCAGGAAAACCCUCGUCCUACUCGCCGAGUCGGCUAUUGGACUCGGCGAGUUGAUGCCAUGCUCAAGCUGAACUGACCUCCUGAGGUCAGAUCCGCUCCUCUAAACCGUAGAUCCAGCUUCCCAAAGCAUUAUAAUCACGUAAAGCUAACGUCUUGGUGCUCAUGCAAAGGAUCAAAGACCUUAUUUGAAGAUAGGACCUCUAAAAUGACAUCCAAAGCUCAUAACCCCCAUUAACACUCAUAAAGCUCAAGGAAAAAGGGUCUAUGGACCUCUGUGGGUCCAAAUCUACAUCACCAACACGAGAGGGGACCAAUUACUCCGUAUGACCAUCCUCUAAAGGGUCUAAAAAGCCCUAACUCUUAGAAUUACACCAUAAACUGAAGAAGGGUCGAAUGAAUACCUCAAAAUGAAGUCCAUGAGCCCUGGAAUCACUGGAUUAGCACCCUCUCAGCCUCCUCNUUGUCUUGGUCCUCUUCUAUUUGCAAAAACACUAACAAUGAUCAAGAAAUGACUCCUUUCCUCUCACAAACGCUCUAGCUCACUUAGGGUUUCUCUCUGGGGUCCGGUAGCCGCAAAUAACGGCCAUAAGGCCCCUUAAAUAGGCCCCAAACCCGAGGAAUUAGGGUUCCAUUAAACAACGUGGACUCACUGAGUCCUUGGGGCGACUCGCCGAGUCCAGCCAUCCACCCGGAUAAUGAUUCAAUGAAUAAAUAUAAUAACUGAAAUUCUGGAUGUUACAAUUCUCCCGCACUUGAAACAGUCUUCGCCCUCGAAGACUCAUACCAGAAAUAGCUUUGGAUGCUGCUCAUGCAUCUCUCAUUCUGGAUCCCAAGUAAACUUGGAUCCUCUCCGAUGUUGCCACUGAACCUGCACCAGAGGCACCUCCUUGUUCCUUAGAACCUUGAUCUUCCGNCGCAUAGUUCAGACUCGCAUCCACCUAAAUAUCCUCUAACGACACUACCGCCGACUCGUCGGCUAUACACUUCCUCAACUGACACACAUGUACUGGGGCCCUAGCUUGCCUCUCUUCCUGAAUCGAAUCACUCCUUUCCAAGGAGAUACCUUCAGGAGAACAUAAUCACCGACCUGGAACUCAAGCUUGGAUCGUCGCGUAUCCGCAUAACUCUUCUGGCGACUCUAAGCGGUCAACAAUCUAUAUCUGACCUGCUGUAUCUGCUGUGUCGUAUGAAGCACAAUCUCCGUGCUACCCAUCACUUGUUGCCCCACCUCUCCCCAACAAAUGGGAGUCCGACACCUCCUCCUGUACAACAGCUCAAAGGGCAAAUACGUGUCCCAACUUCCGCCAAAAUCCAACACACAUGCUUGGAGCAUGUCCUCGAGCAUCUGAAUUGUCCGCUUGCUCUGACCGUCAGUCUGUGGGUGGUAUGCGGUACUAAAAUGCAGCCUCGUACCUAACUCCUCAUGGAAUGUCUUCCAAAAUCUGGAAGUGAAACGCACAUCUCGAUCUGACACAAUCGAGGUCGGCACCCCAUGCCGCGAUACCACCUCUCUCACAUAUAUCUCUGCUAACUUCUCCGCAGAAGAACUCUCACUAAUGGUGAGAAAGUGAGCGCUCUUUGUCAAGCGGUCUACUAUCACCCAAAUCGCAUCAACACCCCUCGCCGUUCUCGGCAAUUUGGUGAUAAAAUCCAUGGAUAUCUGCUCCCAUUUCCACUCUGGGACUUCCAGUGGUUGCAACUUACCAUGCGGUCUCUGAUGUUCGGCUUUAACCCUACGACAGGUUAGACACCUCUCAACAAACCACGCUACAUCUCUCUUCAUACAGGGCCACCAAUACUCCCUUUUAAGAUCCAGAAACAUCUUAGUGGCCCCGGGAUGGAUCGAGAAUCUCGAUCUAUGCGCCUCCUCCAUCAAGAUGGUACGCGUUCCUCCAACAAACGGUACCCAAAUCCGACCCUGGAAGGUCAUAAGCCCUCUGCUAUCGAUCACGAACUCUGACACCUGUUCGAUAACUCGUUCUCUCUUACGGUUCUCCGGUCUCACUGCCUCAGCCUAAGCCCCUCUGAUGGUGUCCAACACCGGAGUCAUCACCGUCAAUCUCAUACAAAUAUCCCGAAUCGGGGUGCUCUCUGCCCUACGACUCAGGGCAUCGGCUACCAUAUUAGCCUUGCCUGGGUGGUACAGAAUCUCACAAUCGUAAUCUUUUACUACGUCCAACCNUCAAAUACUUCAAACUCUUGUGGUCCGUGUAUAUCGUACACCGAACCCCAUACAGAUAAUGGCGCCAAAUCUUGAGGGCGAACACCACAGCCCCCAACUCUAGAUCGUGGGUGGGAUACCUUGCCUCAUGGGGCUUCAGCUGCCUCGAUGCGUACGCGAUCACAUGCCCCCUCUGCAUCAACACCGCGCCCAACCCAGAUAUCGAUGCGUCACAAUACACCACGAAGUCCUCCAUUCCCUCUGGAAGAGCCAACACCGGGGCUUCGCACAAUCUCUGGCGAAGAGUCUCAAAUGAGGCCUGCUGCUCUGGGCCCCAGCUGAACACCACACCCUUCCGGGUCAACCUGGUGAGAGGAACAACAAUCUUGGAGAAAUCCCUGAUGAACCUCCGAUAAUAGCCGGCCAACCCUAGAAAACUCCUGAUCUCAGAAGGAGAUUUCGGCACCUCCCAACUCAUCACCGCCUCGAUCUUGGCCGGAUCGACCAAAAUCCCCUUUUGGUUAACGAGGUGACCAAGGAACUGCACCUCCCGUAACCAAAAAUCGCACUUGGAGAAUUUGGCGUAAAGCCUCUCCGAUCUCAGCAUACUGAGGAUUUCUCGCAAAUGCUCCUCAUGCUGCUCCCUGGAUCUUGAAUACAUCAAAAUGUCGUCAAUGAACACAAUCACUGAUCGAUCCAGCAUCGGUCUGCAUACCCUGUUCAUGAGAUCAAUGAACGCUGCAGACACAUUGGUGAGGCCGAAUGGCAUCACCACAAACUCGUAAUGCCCAUAACGAGUCCUGAAUGCGGUCUUCUGGAUAUCCUCCUCGUGCACCCUCAUCUGAUGAUAUCCAGAUCUCAGAUCAAUCUUGGAAAACCAAGACGCUCCCUGCAGCUGAUCGAACAAAUCAUCGAUCCUCGGCAAAGGAUAACGGUUCUUGACCGUUAACUUGUUCAGCUCUCGAUAAUCUAUGCACAUUCGGUGCGAACCAUCCUUUUUCUUCACAAAAAGGAUUGGUGCUCCCCACGGCGAGCUGCUCGGCCGUAUAAACCCCUUCCCCAGCAGCUCCUGAAGCUGCGAGGAUAACUCCCGCAUCUCUGGAGGUGGAAGGCGAUAGGGCGCCUUGGCAAUAGGUGCUGCCCCAGGAAUCAAAUCAAUGCGAAACUCAACCUGCCUCUCGGGAGGCACACCCGGUAACUCCUCGGGAAAGAGAUCCGGGAAUACACGCACUAUCGAAACCUCCUCAACCGUACUCGAUCUCUCUGCACCAACUCUCGUAUCCAUCACAUACGCUACAAAACCACUACGACCCUACUGUAGACUCUGCCUCGCUCUAGCAUCCGAACAAAAUGCUGAAUCGGGACGGGUACCCUCGCCGUACACUGUAAGAACUCCCCCACUUGGGUCUCGUAUAGUCACCAGCUGCCGCUCGAAAUCAAUAACUGCUCCAAAUCUGCUCAACCAAUCCAUGCCUACGAUGACACAGACGGCCCCCAUCGCAAUCGGGACCAAAUCAAUAGGAAACUCUACACCAAAAAUCUCGAGUACACAUCCUCGAAUCACCUCCGUGGCAUACAUUUCUCUCUCGUCGACGAUGGAGACUCUCAGAGGUCGACUCAACGCCUCUCGACUAAUACUGAUGUGCUGACUAAAAGCCAACGAUAUAAAAGAUCGACUCGCACCCGAGUCAAAUAACACCAAAGCAGGUACAGAACUCACAAGAAAAGUACCUACGCAUAUCAUAAUAUAAGUACAAAAUCUCAAACAUUAAAAUAAAUACAUGAAAGAAUACAUACCAGCCACUACAUCGGGCGCUGCGCGGACCUCUUACGCAGUCAACUGGAAGGCUCUCCCCCGAGCCUUCGGCGUCUCGUUCUUCACCGGCCGACUAUCAGAGUCUCUAACAGCAGCAGGGGCAGACCCCUGAGAAGCUCCCUGUGCUGACCCUCAUAGUGCGGACACUCNCCGGUGUCCGGUCUGGUUGCAGUGAAAACAGACUGCAAACCUCUUGGGGCAUUCCUUGGCCAUAUGCCCCUCCUUACCACACUUGUAGCAAGAUCCAGCUCUACAAACUCCAUCAUGACCGUUUUCGCACUUUCCACAAGUGCGGCCCUUCUGGUUCCCUGCUCUGGAAUCAGUGGGCUUGGCCCGCUUGGUUGCCAACUGGGACUGUGUCGGUCGCCGAUCCCUCCCCUGAGACUCUGCUUCCUCCCUAGCCCGUGUCUCUACCUCGAUCUCCCUCUUUCGGGCAUUUGUCUGAAGCUAAGAAAAUGUCGGGUACGAGGAGUUCGCCACGAACUCCCGAAUAUAUCUCCUCAAAAUACUCAAAUAACGGCUCAUACGUGCCUGCUCAGUAGACACGUGCUCAGGGUAGAACAUCGCCCUCUCAUGAAACAUCAUGGUAAUAACCGUAACAGACUCUGUACCCUGCUUGAGGGUCAAAAACUCUUGUGCCAACCGAUACCGUUCCACCGAGGGAAUGUACUCAUCAUGAAACAUGGCGGUGAACCUCUCCCAGGUCACCGCAGCAAACUCUGCUGGAGAAUAGAGUGUUGUCGCGAACUUCCACCAGUCCUUUGCCCCCAGGUGAAGUUGGUUCAGCACAAACCGAACCCUCAAGUGCUCUGGGCACGAGCAUGUAUAGAAACACCCCUCAAUGUCAGAUACCCAUCUCAUCGCUGCAAUCGGAUCCUGCAUCCCAUCAAACUCUGGUGGCUUCGUGUUGCUGAACUCCCUGAACAACAACGAGUCACCCCCUUGCGGCCUAGCAGCAGCGACGGCUGCGGUGGCCGCUGCAACAGCAGCCUCAGAAAGAGCGGCAUAACGCUCAUCAAAAGUCUUAAUCUGCAUGGUCUUAAUAGACCCGAACAUCUCUGGUAUCUCUGCCCUGAUGGCUGCAGCCACCUCCUCAUAGAUGAUUCGGCGGAUCUCCUCAUCACUAGUCUCGCUGCUCUCUGGCGCAUGACGUGUCCUCACCAUGAUCUACCUCUGAAAUACAACAUACGAUAUAUUAGAAACUCAGUCGAGCAUACUCGCACUCGAUAACUCAUCCCUCCUUGAUCCCUGGCAUCCCGAAGAUUCUUACUUGAACUGUACACCGCCCCGGUGUUUUCAGUAGUACGGGCCCAAUACUACUGUCCACACCGCGUCAGUGUACACCCCAAGUCCUUCUCCUAGGAUCCUAAGUCCCAAGUACUCUAUUAUGCAUAAUCCACUCUCUAAUAGAUCUCUCAUAAAUUCCUCACUGCUACCUACUCACUCUCAAGCGUCUCAUAGCAGCUCACCUCCCCCUAGGCUAAGGCAUCACAAAUCAGGCCAUUCUAGUCCUAAUAAGAAUACCUAGCCCACUCUAGUACGAGAAUACAUCAUAUCAAUCUCAUAAGCAUAUAACAUAAGGGUAUUUUGGGAAAUCACCGUUUGGGCGCUGACUGAUCGUACACACGACUCUGCUCUGUGUUUUCCAAAAAAAUCUUUUACUCUUUUUAGAAAACUUGGUUCUCUUUUGAAAAUAUUUCUCAAAUCCUCAGUUUGAGUUCUAAUACCCUCGAAGGUGUACUCGAAUCCCUCAAACCAAGACUCUGAUACCAACUUGUAACACCGUAAAUUUCAAAACAAUUUUUCGCAUUUUAUAAUAACAUAAUUCAUUCAUUAUUUAUAAAAACAUCAUUGUUUAAAACUCAAUUCAUAACAUAUAUCAAUCCCAAGAUAACAUAACAUAAAAAUAUCGUGUGUGUAUUGAUCAAGUCGGCGCCUUCCNCCUCACUAGUACCUGAAACACAUAACACGAAACACUGUAAGCACAAAGCUUAGUGAGUUCCCCAAAAUACCAUAUAUAACACACAUUAGCCACUCGAUGCUAUAACUCUGUGGGUCCGUGCACCCAAACUCUGUGAACCCUCAUGUUCUAUCUCUAUGAACCUUCAGGUUCUAACUCUAUAAACAUGCACAACAUAAAUCACAUAGAAUAAUGAAGUGCAACACAUAACACAUAUAUUGCAUACAAACACUGUAUCGCAUAACUCCGAUUACCUACUCAAGGUAAAGUAUAGUGAGAAGACUCACCUCGGAUAUCUCAGUAAAUCUCGGACUCGGUAAACUCUGGUUUAGCCCCUGCCUAAUCACAUGAAAUAAAUACUCUAAUUAAUACAACCCUUAGGGCUAGGCUAAUCUCUCUCUCUAUUCAUCCUCUAGGAAGGGUAAAAUACUAUCCUACCCUUCCGAUGACUCUAAGGUCCAAACAUUGACUAAACUUAAAAGUCAACGAAGUCAACCCUUGACCAAACUCGCCGAGCGUACAACUGUGACUCGGCGAGUCCACACGUUUUCUUCACUCUCCUAGUCCUCCUUCGACUUACUGAGUCAAUCCUCAACUCUAAAAAUCAUCACAGAUGACACUCUGUAAAAUGUCCCGACCCAACUCGCCGAGUCCGACUCCUGACUCGAUGAGUACCAUCGUGCAGUCUGUCCUCUAGAUUCCCUCUGACUCACCAAGUCACUUCCCAAAGUCAGUGAGUCACCAACUGUGUGAUUAUCGGGAAAACCCUCGUCCUACUCGCCGAGUCGGCUAUUGGACUCAGCGAGUUCAUGCCAUGCUCAAGUUGAACCGACCUCCUGAGGUCAGAUCCGCUCCUCUAAACCGUAGAUCCAGCUUCCCAAAGCAUUAUAAUCACGUAAAGCUAACAUCUUGGUGCUCAUGCAAAGGCUCAAAGGCCUUAUUUGAAGAUAUGACCUCUAAAAUGACAUCCAAAGCUCAUAACCCCCAUUAACACUCAUAAAGCUCAAGGAAAAUGGGUCUCUGGACCUCUUUGGGUCCAGAUCUAUAGCACCAACACGAGAGGGGACCAAUUACUCUAUAUAACCAUCCUCUAAAGGGGCUAAAAAGCCCUAACUCUAAGAAUUACACCAUAAACUGAAGAAGGGUCGAAUGAAUACCUCAAAAUGACUCCAUUCCUCUCACAAACGCUCUAGCUCACUCAGGGUUUCUCUCUGGGGUCCGGUAGCCGCAAAUGACGGCCAUAAGGCCCCUUAAAUAGGCCCCAAACCCGAGGAAUUAGGGUUUCAUUAAACAGCAUGGACUCGCCGAGUCCUUGGGGCGACUCGCCGAGUCCAACCAUCCACCCGGAUAAUGAUUCGCGUCUCUACUCGGCGAGUCUACGCAUCAACUCGCCGAGUUCUUCCACAAAACUUGAAAUUCAACGAAUAAAUAUAAUACCUGAAAUUCCGGAUGUUACANNNNNNNNNNNNNNNNNNNNNNNNNNNNNNNNNNNNNNNNNNNNNNNNNNNNNNNNNNNNNNNAUGACGUUUGGCACCCGCAGACCUGCAGGUCCGGCUGUAGCUAGCAGCAAGGUGUAGGAUAGUCAAUCCAGUAUAGAUCUAUACGCAAAAUCACGCUCUCCCUCUAAGAGACUCUGGCUACAACUCGGGCCAUGACAUUGAAGGCAUGCUCCGAUACAGUGGAUCACAAUUAUGUCAACGUAUUUAUGUAUAUGUAAUGUACUGAAAUGUUCUACGUGUGCUAGCUGUAAUGUGUGUUCUCUCUCUAUCUAGCAAGUAUAGUAAUCUACUGUAAUGUUCUAGCUGUAAUGUAUGCUCUCUCUAUCUAGCAAGUAUAGUAAUGUACUGUAAUGUUCUAGAAAGUAUUGACUCAUGAAUGAACUGACUCAUUGUGUGAUAUCGCGUUCUAGUAAUAGUUCUAGUAUCUUCCUAAACUACCCAUAUGGUAGUUUACUAGUAAUCUAACUGGUACGUAUGGACAUGGAUGU
Molecule: long non-coding RNA, 16954 nt
Filed under: Lactuca sativa (garden lettuce)
Lineage: Eukaryota; Viridiplantae; Streptophyta; Magnoliopsida; Asterales; Asteraceae
Description: long non-coding RNA (LSAT_LNC009038)
Source: RNAcentral